This 72-nucleotide transfer RNA is filed under the name Bos taurus (domestic cattle). It matches the Rfam family "tRNA". Rfam says of the family: Transfer RNA (tRNA) molecules are approximately 80 nucleotides in length. Their secondary structure includes four short double-helical elements and three loops (D, anti-codon, and T loops). The record is from Rfam by way of RNAcentral. Lineage: Eukaryota; Metazoa; Chordata; Mammalia; Artiodactyla; Bovidae. RNAcentral also lists the same sequence under 5 other names.
UCCCUAGUGGCUCAGAUGGUAAAGAAUCUGCCUGCAAUGCAGAAGACCUGGGUUUGAUCCCUGGGUUGGGAA